GAUGAACGCUGGCGGCGUGCUUAACACAUGCAAGUCGAACGGAAAGGCUCCUGCUUGCAGGGGUACUCGAGUGGCGAACGGGUGAGUAACACGUGGGUGAUCUGCCCUGCACUUCGGGAUAAGCCUGGGAAACUGGGUCCAAUACCGGAUAGGACGAUGGUUUGGAUGCCAUUGUGGAAAGUUUUUCGGUGUGGGAUGAGCUCGCGGCCUAUCAGCUUGUUGGUGGGGUAAUGGCCUACCAAGGCGUCGACGGGUAGCCGGCCUGAGAGGGUGUACGGCCACAUUGGGACUGAGAUACGGCCCAGACUCCUACGGGAGGCAGCAGUGGGGAAUAUUGCACAAUGGGCGCAAGCCUGAUGCAGCGACGCCGCGUGGGGGAUGACGGCCUUCGGGUUGUAAACUCCUUUCGCUAGGGACGAAGCGCAAGUGACGGUACCUGGAGAAGAAGCACCGGCUAACUACGUG
Molecule: ribosomal RNA, 465 nt
Filed under: uncultured bacterium
Lineage: Bacteria
Description: partial 16S ribosomal RNA
Rfam family: Bacterial small subunit ribosomal RNA
Source: RNAcentral